CUGCUGGCCUCUGAGGCCUCACGUGUGGGGACUGGCAUGAGGCCCACUGGGGAGGAGAGAAACCUUGGAGCUCGGAGGAAGGAAACUGCGAUGAAGCCUGAGUCCCUGUCCCGAAGGGGUCCUGACACACUGGGCCCCGCCCUGAGUCCAUGACUGGCCUCCCUUUGUGAGGAGAGCAGGCCCUGCAUCAUCAGGCCACCAGACUCCUUCCAGCCUCCUGCACAUUUCAGCUGGGCACUGCGGUAGCUGCAUGGAGACCCACAGAACCCACCCUCAGAACAGCGCCUGAUGAGAAGGCCGGGCCUGCAUUCCUCCACACCAAGCCAGGCGCCCGGAAGGAGGCAAACAGCAGCAUUGCCUAUUCAUUGGCCGAUGUCUUCCUUGGUUCUCUUCCUUGGUGAAAACCGCUUUUACAGCAUCUGGUGCCAGAUCUUUGAGAACCGCCACCCCAGCCCGUACCUCUGAGGCAAACCACACUGAGCAGCGGACUGCAGGCCUGCGAGCAAGGCUACAGGAGAAAUUUUAAACGCUGCAGAACUUCCACCAAGUAAGUCACGUGUGUCAUCAUGUGAUCAUC
This is a non-coding RNA of Callithrix jacchus (white-tufted-ear marmoset), 577 nucleotides long. Lineage: Eukaryota; Metazoa; Chordata; Mammalia; Primates; Cebidae. The record is from RefSeq and is a predicted model, not a curated record.